Non-coding RNA from Acanthosepion pharaonis, 109 nucleotides. Lineage: Eukaryota; Metazoa; Mollusca; Cephalopoda; Sepiida; Sepiidae. The record is from the annotation of a GenBank genome assembly.
UUACGGCCAUGGCACGUUGAAACACCGGUUCUCGUCCGAUCACCGAAGUUAAGCAACGUCGAGCCUGCUCACUAUCUAGAUGGGUGACCGCUUGGAAAUACGAUGUACU